UGGAAUUCUGUCUGCUCUAAGGAUAAAAAAACAGUAUUUCUGAAUUAAUCUCAUCCUUUACGAAUUUCAAAUUUUCUGUGUUGAGUAAUAACUUAAUCAACCCUUCAAUAAAAUACUCUUGUAGAAAUAUCACUCGAUAUUUCAACCCAUCCUUUUAUUUUCGAUUACGAAAAAGAAUUCGCCAUUACACUAGUUCAUGAAUCAUGACACGAAUUUAAUUUCUAUCAAUAUAUGAAAGAAAGGAUUCUUUUAGAUUGUAAUUGUAUUUUUUCUAUUUUUUUUGUUCCUCUUCUUCUUUCCUGAGAUAAAAUGGGGCUUAAAAGGGGGUAAAGGAUUAUUUCGUUCCUGAUAGUUAUUUCUUUAACUGGCGGAUAGGAGCAUGCUCUGGAUCGGAAUUGUGGGGAGUACUGCCUGAUCGUUUCU
This 423-nucleotide long non-coding RNA is filed under the name Citrus maxima (pomelo). RNAcentral describes it as "long non-coding RNA (CMAX_LNC004283)". The record is from RNAcentral. Lineage: Eukaryota; Viridiplantae; Streptophyta; Magnoliopsida; Sapindales; Rutaceae.